GGAGUUGUGGCUCAGAGGAAAGAGCCCUCACCUAGCAUGUGAGAGGUACUGGGUUUGAUUCUCAGCACCA
RNAcentral lists this transfer RNA (70 nucleotides) under Ictidomys tridecemlineatus (thirteen-lined ground squirrel). Its description in RNAcentral is "Spermophilus tridecemlineatus (thirteen-lined ground squirrel) tRNA". It matches the Rfam family "tRNA". Rfam says of the family: Transfer RNA (tRNA) molecules are approximately 80 nucleotides in length. Their secondary structure includes four short double-helical elements and three loops (D, anti-codon, and T loops). The record is from Rfam by way of RNAcentral. Lineage: Eukaryota; Metazoa; Chordata; Mammalia; Rodentia; Sciuridae.